RNAcentral lists this ribosomal RNA (495 nucleotides) under uncultured bacterium. RNAcentral describes it as "partial 16S ribosomal RNA". It matches the Rfam family "Bacterial small subunit ribosomal RNA", at positions 28 to 507 of the family's 1533-position model. The record is from RNAcentral.
GACGAACGCUGGCGGCGUGCCUAAUACAUGCAAGUAGAACGCUGAAGGAGGAGCUUGCUUCUAUGGAUGAGUUGCGAACGGGUGAGUAACGCGUAGGUAACCUGCCUGGUAGCGGGGGAUAACUAUUGGAAACGAUAGCUAAUACCGCAUAAGAGUAGAUGUUGCAUGACAUUUGCUUAAAAGGUGCAAUUGCAUCACUACCAGAUGGACCUGCGUUGUAUUAGCUAGUUGGUGGGGUAACGGCUCACCAAGGCGACGAUACAUAGCCGACCUGAGAGGGUGAUCGGCCACACUGGGACUGAGACACGGCCCAGACGCCUACGGGAGGCAGCAGUAGGGAAUCUUCGGCAAUGGACGGAAGUCUGACCGAGCAACGCCGCGUGAGUGAAGAAGGUUUUCGGAUCGUAAAGCUCUGUUGUAAGAGAAGAACGAGUGUGAGAGUGGAAAGUUCACACUGUGACGGUAUCUUACCAGAAAGGGACGGCUAACUACGUG